UACGUAGGUGGCAAGCGUUGUCCGGAUUUACUGGGCGUAAAGGGCGUGCAGGCGGUUUGUUAAGUGCAGCGUGAAAGCUCCCGGCUCAACUGGGAGAGGUCUUUGCAUACUGGCAAACUCGAGGGAGGCAGAGGAAAGUGGAAUUCCCGGUGUAGUGGUGAUAUGCGUAGAUAUCGGGAGGAACACCUGUGGCGAAGGCGGCUUUCUGGGCCUUACCUGACGCUGAGACGCGAAAGCGUGGGGAGCGAACCGG
Molecule: ribosomal RNA, 253 nt
Filed under: uncultured bacterium
Lineage: Bacteria
Description: partial 16S ribosomal RNA
Rfam family: Bacterial small subunit ribosomal RNA
Source: RNAcentral